Molecule: ribosomal RNA, 468 nt
Filed under: uncultured bacterium
Lineage: Bacteria
Description: partial 16S ribosomal RNA
Rfam family: Bacterial small subunit ribosomal RNA
Source: RNAcentral
GACGAACGCUGGCGGCGUGCUUAACACAUGCAAGUCGAACGGAAAGGCCCUGCUUUUGUGGGGUGCUCGAGUGGCGAACGGGUGAGUAACACGUGAGUAACCUGCCCUUGACUUUGGGAUAACUUCAGGAAACUGGGGCUAAUACCGGAUAGGAGCUCCUGCUGCAUGGUGGGGGUUGGAAAGUUUCGGCGGUUGUGGAUGGACUCGCGGCUUAUCAGCUUGUUGGUGGGGUAGUGGCUUACCAAGGCUUUGACGGGUAGCCGGCCUGAGAGGGUGACCGGCCACAUUGGGACUGAGAUACGGCCCAGACUGCUACGUGAGGCAGCAGUGGGGAAUAUUGCACAAUGGGCGGAAGCCUGAUGCAGCAACGCCGCGUGCGGGAUGACGGCCUUCGGGUUGUAAACCGCUUUAGCCUGUGACGAAGCGUGAGUGACGGUAAUGGGUAAAGAAGCACCGGCUAACUACGUG